This 253-nucleotide ribosomal RNA is filed under the name uncultured bacterium. Its description in RNAcentral is "partial 16S ribosomal RNA". It matches the Rfam family "Bacterial small subunit ribosomal RNA", at positions 524 to 776 of the family's 1533-position model. The record is from RNAcentral.
UACGAAGGGGGCUAGCGUUGUUCGGAUUUACUGGGCGUAAAGCGCGUGUAGGCGGGCUGGAAAGUUGGGGGUGAAAUCCCGAGGCUCAACCUCGGAACUGCCUCCAAAACUUCCAGCCUGGACUCAAGCAGAGGCAAGUGGAAUUGCGAGUGUAGAGGUGAAAUUCGUAGAUAUUCGCAGGAACACCAGUGGCGAAGGCGACUUGCUGGGCUUGUAGUGACGCUGAGGCGCGACAGCGUCGGGAGCAAACAGG